AAGCUUUGUAGUUAAAAUUAAUUAAUAACAUCAGCAUGCAAUGUUGAAAUUGUGUAUGUGCACCUAAGCUUU
Molecule: transfer RNA, 72 nt
Filed under: Haematomyzus elephantis (elephant louse)
Lineage: Eukaryota; Metazoa; Arthropoda; Insecta; Psocodea; Haematomyzidae
Description: tRNA-Cys
Source: RNAcentral